UACGGAGGGGGCUAGCGUUGUUCGGAAUUAUUGGGCGUAAAGAGCUUGUAGGCGGUUUGUCGCGUCUGCUGUGAAAUUUCGGGGCUCAACCCCGAACUUGCAGUGGGUACGGGCAGACUAGAGUGUGGUAGGGGAGACUGGAAUUCCUGGUGUAGCGGUGAAAUGCGCAGAUAUCAGGAGGAACACCGAUGGCGAAGGCAGGUCUCUGGGCCACUACUGACGCUGAGAAGCGAAAGCAUGGGGAGCGAACAGG
RNAcentral lists this ribosomal RNA (253 nucleotides) under uncultured bacterium. Its description in RNAcentral is "partial 16S ribosomal RNA". It matches the Rfam family "Bacterial small subunit ribosomal RNA", at positions 524 to 776 of the family's 1533-position model. The record is from RNAcentral.